Non-coding RNA from Caenorhabditis elegans, 173 nucleotides. The record is from Ensembl. NCBI's taxonomy places the organism in Eukaryota, Metazoa, Nematoda, Chromadorea, Rhabditida, Rhabditidae.
GGAUUCUCGUGGCGGCAAUUCAAAUGCAACAAGGCUGAAGAUUUUUUUAUUCAGAUUCCAUCAAGAAUAUUGUUUACUGACUAGAGAGACCACCGGUUCGAUUCGCAUUACGCAACUCUGACUCGCUUCUGUCACAAACGGGCGGCGCUACUUCUCAAAGGACGAAAAAAAAC